RNAcentral lists this ribosomal RNA (120 nucleotides) under Lepidorhombus boscii (fourspotted megrim). The record is from RNAcentral. Lineage: Eukaryota; Metazoa; Chordata; Actinopteri; Pleuronectiformes; Scophthalmidae.
GCUUACGGCCAUACCAGCCUGAAUACGCCCGAUCUCGUCUGAUCUCGGAAGCUAAGCAGGGUCGGGCCUGGUUAGUACUUGGAUGGGAGACCGCCUGGGAAUACCAGGUGCUGUAAGCAU